This 253-nucleotide ribosomal RNA is filed under the name uncultured bacterium. Its description in RNAcentral is "partial 16S ribosomal RNA". It matches the Rfam family "Bacterial small subunit ribosomal RNA", at positions 524 to 776 of the family's 1533-position model. The record is from RNAcentral.
UACGAAGGGGGCUAGCGUUGUUCGGAUUAACUGGGCGUAAAGGGUGCGUAGGCGGGCUUUUAAGUCAGGGGUGAAAUCCCAAGGCUCAACCUUGGAACUGCCUUUGAUACUGGGAGUCUUGAGUUCGGGAGAGGUGAGUGGAACUGCGAGUGUAGAGGUGAAAUUCGUAGAUAUUCGCAAGAACGCCAGUGGCGAAGGCGGCUCACUGGCCCGAUACUGACGCUGAGGCACGAAAGCGUGGGGAGCAAACAGG